Oncorhynchus gorbuscha (pink salmon) is the source of this 701-nucleotide long non-coding RNA. RefSeq lists it as uncharacterized. The transcript has 7 exons. Lineage: Eukaryota; Metazoa; Chordata; Actinopteri; Salmoniformes; Salmonidae. The record is from RefSeq and is a predicted model, not a curated record.
CAGUCUUUCGAACGUAUGUAGUGCAGGGAAUAUGUGGCCGGUUGAAUUUUUGGUGUGGUUUUUUUUGGUGGGGGGGAUAACUAUCUAUAUCAACUCGUAGCAAAAUGAUUCAAAGACACUACGAACUCCAGUGUCGACCAGCCACCAUGAGUGUAAAUUAGCCGUUUGAACGUGGAUGGACUUCAGAAGUCCUAUGGGCUGUGUCCACUCAAGAGUGUUGUGGCCUCUGAGGGUGACUACAGUUUCUUGGUCUGCCAACCUGGGUGUGAUUCCAUGAAAAUGUUCCAAUGGAGUUACUCCGAUGAGAGCAGUGCCGGUGGGUCAAGAGGACAGUUAAUUGGUCUGCCAACCUGGAUGUGAACCCCUGAAAAUACAGCAAGUAAUGCCAUUGGGAUCAGGUAAUGGGGUCAAAGACUUUGUGCCAAGGACAGGACUCAAGAACUGAAAUUCACCAAAUGAAUGAUCAGUGACUGACACAAAGAAACUACUUCAAUGCAAACAUUAGAGAAUGUCAAGUUUUAAUGGUGUACUUAAUACCAGAAAGUCACAGGGCUUUAAGCCCCACAGUUAAUCAGUGUGAAAGGCUGAAUUGUAUGGUGCUUUCUUGAGUGUGUCCAGGAAGAACUGCUCGUCCUGCAGAAAGUCACGAUCCUAAGAAGAUAAAACAAGUACAUUUAUCUACAAUAAAGAUUUUGAAACUA